CCUGCCUUUUAAUCUAAAUAUACUUAAGUCAAGUCACUCUGAUUGGAUUUCAAACUAAGCUUCGAACAAGCUCGAAUACGUAUUUUAAAAAAAAUUUAAAGCCUAUGCCCAGCUUGAAGCAUCCCCCUUCUUAAAAAGAAAAAAUUCAUGCUAGACUUAGAUAGAGGCAUAGUCUAAUUCCAUUCCAAUUCUACAGUUAUUUCUCGCUAG
Molecule: long non-coding RNA, 210 nt
Filed under: Elaeis guineensis (African oil palm)
Lineage: Eukaryota; Viridiplantae; Streptophyta; Magnoliopsida; Arecales; Arecaceae
Description: long non-coding RNA (EGUI_LNC018937)
Source: RNAcentral